UACGGAGGGCGCAAGAGUUGUUCGGAAUCACUGGGCGUAAAGCGCGUGUAGGCGGCUUUGCAAGUCGGGUGUGAAAUCACGAGGCUCAAACUCGGAACUGCACUCGAAACUGCCUGGCUCGAGUCCCGGAGAGGGUGGCGGAAGUCCCGGUGUAGGGGUGAAAUCCGUAGAUAUCGGGAGGAACACCAGUGGCGAAGGCGGCCACUUGGACGGUGACUGACGCUGAGACGCGAAAGCGUGGGGAGCAAACCGG
RNAcentral lists this ribosomal RNA (253 nucleotides) under uncultured bacterium. RNAcentral describes it as "partial 16S ribosomal RNA". It matches the Rfam family "Bacterial small subunit ribosomal RNA", at positions 524 to 776 of the family's 1533-position model. The record is from RNAcentral.